CCUACGGGGGGCAGCAGUGAGGAAUAUUGGUCAAUGGCCGAGAGGCUGAACCAGCCAAGUCGCGUGAGGGAUGACGGCCCUACGGGUUGUAAGCCUCUUUUGUCGGGGAGCAAAGAGAGUCACGCGUGGCUCAUUGAGAGUACCCGAAGAAAGAGCAUCGGCUAACUCCGUGCCAGCAGCCGCGGUAAUACGGAGGAUGCGAGCAUUAUCCGGAUUUAUUGGGUUUAAAGGGUGCGCAGGCGGAGGUGCAAGUCAGUGGUCAAAUUGCGGGGCUCAACCCCGUACUGCCGUUGAAACUGCAUCCC
This 305-nucleotide ribosomal RNA is filed under the name uncultured bacterium. RNAcentral describes it as "bacterial SSU rRNA". It matches the Rfam family "Bacterial small subunit ribosomal RNA", at positions 338 to 641 of the family's 1533-position model. The record is from RNAcentral.